This 829-nucleotide unclassified non-coding RNA is filed under the name Chelonus insularis. RNAcentral's name for it is "uncharacterized LOC118074207, transcript variant X1". The record is from RNAcentral. Lineage: Eukaryota; Metazoa; Arthropoda; Insecta; Hymenoptera; Braconidae.
AAAAAACAUUCCGAUGAAUGACACUACGGCUGAUUCUACGGAAACAAUUUAUGAGGAGGGAGGAAAAAUCUACACUAAUUUGGUACCGCGACAACCACCAAAAAAAAGAUUGUACAGUGAAACAGUUAUCGAAGUAUAGGAGCAUUUAAGCUAAUUUUACCGAUGUCCCGAGAUAUAAGAACAUUAUUAAAGUUUGAAGGACAAUAAGAAAGAAAUAUCUAAAUAUGAAAAUUCUAACGAGAGACUUAAUCUUAAUGCAUUAACUUGUGUUCCGUUACAAAUAUUUUAAUAAUGGGCCAAUAUUCAAACUUUUUAAAUAUUCCAAAACCCAACUAACAGUCAAAUUUCAUAGCCGAAAUAGACAUAUUAAGGAUGGAAUAUUGAUAGAUAAUUCGAUAAGUAUUGAUCCUUUGCUCAUAGCUGAGAACAAGUUAAAGGUAGACAAUAAACACGAAUAGUGAUGAAAAAAACGAUAUGAUACAUUUCUCUAUAACUUUUUCAGACCAUUUAGUGAACUGCAUGAUUACGAAUGUAAAAUAUACCUAAUGAAUUUUUCGACAAUUUCCCAGAUUACCAGAUGUGCCUCCACACAUAGACAAAUGUUCGAAUAAAAUAUGUUUAGAAAAAUAUCCGAAAGAUUUGAACGAUCGAAUCUGUAACUCAUGCUUUGGAGAUAAUUCAAGGUAAAAUAGUCAGUUAACAUUCCAUCAACAUUUGCUCCAGUAGUGCGAUUUACAUAAAACCUCAUACAUUAUUCAUGCUCAUUUCCAAUUGUUUAUUUUCAGACAAGUUAUUGACAACAUACACACCAAGUAUAACGCGGUUAUUG